UAGAGGAAGUAAAAGUCGUAACAAGGUCUCCGUUGGUGAACCAGCGGAGGGAUCAUUACUGAGUUUACGCUCUACAACCCUUUGUGAACAUACCUAUAACUGUUGCUUCGGCGGGUAGGGUCUCCGCGACCCUCCCGGCCUCCCGCCUCCGGGCGGGUCGGCGCCCGCCGGAGGAUAACCAAACUCUGAUUUAACGACGUUUCUUCUGAGUGGUACAAGCAAAUAAUCAAAACUUUUAACAACGGAUCUCUUGGUUCUGGCAUCGAUGAAGAACGCAGCGAAAUGCGAUAAGUAAUGUGAAUUGCAGAAUUCAGUGAAUCAUCGAAUCUUUGAACGCACAUUGCGCCCGCCAGCAUUCUGGCGGGCAUGCCUGUUCGAGCGUCAUUUCAACCCUCAAGCUCUGCUUGGUGUUGGGGCCCUACAGCCGAUGUAGGCCCUCAAAGGUAGUGGCGGACCCUCCCGGAGCCUCCUUUGCGUAGUAACUUUACGUCUCGCACUGGGAUCCGGAGGGACUCUUGCCGUAAAACCCCCCAAUUUUCCAAAGGUUGACCUCGGAUCAGGUAGGAAUACCCGCUGAACUUAAGCAUAUCAAUA
Molecule: ribosomal RNA, 594 nt
Filed under: Colletotrichum gloeosporioides
Lineage: Eukaryota; Fungi; Ascomycota; Sordariomycetes; Glomerellales; Glomerellaceae
Description: eukaryotic LSU rRNA
Rfam family: 5.8S ribosomal RNA (bases 231-384)
Source: RNAcentral